CCCCCCCGCCACAUCAACUCCACCUCUCAGAGACCUGGGAGGAGUCGCCCCCCCCACCACCCCAAGGAUUUUCCCAACACCCCUCACUCCACCACCUCCCUGGGGUAUCCAGUAUAUGUGACCCCUCCCCUCCCCUCCUUCAGACCCCCAGACCCAGCUCCAGCUCUGUUUUGUGUCUCCAGAUACCCCUGACCCCACAUCUGAGACGACCUUGCUGUCAGCUCUGACCUACUCCAGGCAAAAGCAGGAGAGGACCCUGGUAUCCAGGGCCAGCCCCCAGACGGGGGGGCUGGUCUUGCUAAUCUUGGUGCCCACUCUUUUCUGUCUGGGCUUUACCUUGUGGCAGCUCCAACAGAGGUUGUGGAGACAGAGGACCCAGGUGCCUGAGGAGAUGGGCACCUGAAUGGAAAGAGAACGGGACCUGAUAGGAAGCAAUGACUGGGGUUCACCAGAGCUGCCCCAGCUCCAGCCUCCAUGGGCUGCAGCCAGGCCAAGUAUGGGGAGAAAGAGCUCCUCUCCUUCUAUGGCGCCUCUCCCCUCCAUGGGCUGAGUUGGGGGGCUGGGAUCCCACCAGGGGCCUUACCCCUCAUCCCCUCCAGGGGCAUGGUGGCACCUGGAACCUGCAGCAAAGACAUGGGUGUGGUACCCACCUCCAGCCACUAGGAGGUGAUGUGCCCAGGCCCCACCCCGCCUUCCCUGUACGGAGAACAUUACUAUACUGUGUAUAUAGAUAAAUAGAUUUUUAUAUAAAAAUAUCUAUAUUUUAUAUAAAGCUGCUUUUAAU
Molecule: long non-coding RNA, 784 nt
Filed under: Crocodylus porosus (Australian saltwater crocodile)
Lineage: Eukaryota; Metazoa; Chordata; Crocodylia; Crocodylidae
Description: lncRNA (ENSCPRG00005016693.1)
Source: RNAcentral